CCGCUCAAUAGUUUAAAUGGUCUCCUCAUCGUAACACUUGUUGCCAGUCCAGUCGUCCAACAUGAAGCUAAUAUAUUUGUUUUCGAUUUUAUCGAUUCACAGCUGCUAUUUGCUGCAAAGAGCACACACCCUCCCUAUGCCUGCUCCUCAAUUCUUGGAAGAAAACAUUUGUGGGCUUCCGUUAGAGCCGGAACGAUGUUUGUGUAAAACGCAAGAUGACGUUUCAGAAUGCGAAUAUUUUUCGUGAAAGAGCAGUAAUGUGAGUGAAUAAAGCGCCCCCAAUCGCAUUAUUUUUGCCUUUGGUAGAACAAAAUAAUUUUUCAUGGAGAUUUGAUUCGCAUUAUUAAAAUGCUCAGCCAUCAAUGGCAGCCAUCAAUCAGAUUGGUUCGAAUAUUCGGAAUGGACCUUCGGGAAAAUCGCGUCAUACUUUGUUUCAUUCUGUUUUCCAGUUAUUUUGGGCUGAUUGAACCACAUAUUGAUUCAAACAAACAUCCCGAGAUGGUAUGCAAUCCGAAAGUUGUUUUCAAAGAUGAAUGUGGUAAUAUUUGCGUUUGUAAUCCACGGAGUGUCGCUCUAUGUGACGAUAAAGUUAUGAAGAGAUGUGGCUAAUGAUCGGUGACUAAGGCAAUCAACAUACUUUUCAAUUCAAAUCAAAUAUACGGGAAUUCACAUGCUGCCGCUGAUUCGAACAAACUAGUGUCAACCUCAGUGAAAACAACUCUAAACCUUCUCAUUAAUAAAGAAAUACAACAGCAAAACUUUCCGCUACAA
Molecule: long non-coding RNA, 771 nt
Filed under: Aedes aegypti (yellow fever mosquito)
Lineage: Eukaryota; Metazoa; Arthropoda; Insecta; Diptera; Culicidae
Description: lncRNA AAEL020178
Source: RNAcentral